AGAGGUGGCAAGCGUUGUUCGGAAUUACUGGGCGUAAAGGGCGCGUAGGCGGUCGAUUAAGUCCCGUGUGAAAUCCCUCGGCUCAACUGAGGAACUGCACGGGAAACUGGCUGACUUGAGUUCGGGAGAGGGAAGCGGAAUUCCGGGUGUAGCGGUGAAAUGCGUAGAUAUCCGGAGGAACACCGGUGGCGAAGGCGGCUUCCUGGACCGAUACUGACGCUGAGGCGCGAAAGCUAGGGGAGCAAACGGGAUUAGAUACCCCGGUAGUCCUAGCUGUAAGCGAUGAGUGCUGGGUGUAGGGGGUAUUAACCCCUCCUGUGCCGAAGCUAACGCAUUAAGCACUCCGCCUGGGGAGUACGGUCGCAAGGCUG
This 371-nucleotide ribosomal RNA is filed under the name uncultured bacterium. Its description in RNAcentral is "bacterial SSU rRNA". It matches the Rfam family "Bacterial small subunit ribosomal RNA", at positions 527 to 896 of the family's 1533-position model. The record is from RNAcentral.